This 235-nucleotide ribosomal RNA is filed under the name uncultured bacterium. Its description in RNAcentral is "partial 16S ribosomal RNA". The record is from RNAcentral.
CUGCUGCCUUCCGUAGGAGUCUGGGCCGUGUCUCAGUCCCAAUGUGGCCGGUCAACCUCUCAGUCCGGCUACUGAUCGUCGCCUUGGUGGGCCGUUGCCCCACCAACUAGCUAAUCAGACGCGAGGCCAUCUCAGAGCGAUAAAUCUUUGGCAGUCAGAGCCAUGCGACCCAACUGCAUCAUGCGGUAUUAGCACAAUUUUCACUGUGUUAUUCCCCUCUCCAAGGCAGGUUCCU